RNAcentral lists this long non-coding RNA (714 nucleotides) under Scleropages formosus (Asian bonytongue). RNAcentral's name for it is "lncRNA (ENSSFOG00015030934.1)". Lineage: Eukaryota; Metazoa; Chordata; Actinopteri; Osteoglossiformes; Osteoglossidae. The record is from RNAcentral.
CUUUGAUAAACAUGACAAUACGCAGCAAUAAUGAAGUUACCUCCCUCUCUCAGAACAUCUCUCUUUCUCCAAGCGGUUCAGCGGAGGGUCGGUGCUACAGACACCGCUGUACUGGGCUCAACCAGUACCAGGUCCAGGUGUUUGACUCUCACUGGAUGGACUGUCCAGCCGGCACCUCCAUACAGGUACCACGCAGGGGUCGCGUCGGUUCGCUUCUUCUGUGCUCUCGAGUACUGGGCCACACCUGCUACCUGCUUGUGUGUGUGUGUGUGUUGAACCAUCUUUUUCUGUACCGCAGGUGUUGGGGUACACCGGGUCCAUCCUCUGUCCUCAUGAGACACUAUGUCACCAUUCACAUGUCACCGCUCCCACAAGCUAUGAGGCUCUUCCACCUCCUGGUCCUCCCACCAGUGGUGGCUCCUCCUCUCAGAGAGGGGGGUCUUUGGCCCCUGGGUUUUACUCCGAUUCCCCCCCGACUUUCACGGUGCCAGAGAGCAGCGUCGAACUCCCUCUAAUCACAGCCCUGGGGGGUGCGGCAGCGCUGUGUCUCACAGGCGCUCUAACGGCUGUUCUGUACCUGGCCUGUAGGGGGCACUACGCCCUCGGAGUCAGGGUGCAUGCUGUCACGGACAUGGAGACGGCUUGAGCGCUGUCCCUGCUGUCCAUUCAUAAUCCAUCAUAUCUCUGCACAAAUAAAGUUCUAGUAAAAUGUCA